This 570-nucleotide ribosomal RNA is filed under the name Alternaria longipes. Its description in RNAcentral is "eukaryotic LSU rRNA". The stretch from base 195 to 348 matches the Rfam family "5.8S ribosomal RNA". RNAcentral also lists the same sequence under 1 other name. Lineage: Eukaryota; Fungi; Ascomycota; Dothideomycetes; Pleosporales; Pleosporaceae. The record is from RNAcentral.
UCCGUAGGUGACCUGCGGAGGGAUCAUUACACAAAUAUGAAGGCGGGCUGGAACCUCUCGGGGUUACAGCCUUGCUGAAUUAUUCACCCUUGUCUUUUGCGUACUUCUUGUUUCCUUGGUGGGUUCGCCCACCACUAGGACAAACAUAAACCUUUUGUAAUUGCAAUCAGCGUCAGUAACAAAUUAAUAAUUACAACUUUCAACAACGGAUCUCUUGGUUCUGGCAUCGAUGAAGAACGCAGCGAAAUGCGAUAAGUAGUGUGAAUUGCAGAAUUCAGUGAAUCAUCGAAUCUUUGAACGCACAUUGCGCCCUUUGGUAUUCCAAAGGGCAUGCCUGUUCGAGCGUCAUUUGUACCCUCAAGCUUUGCUUGGUGUUGGGCGUCUUGUCUCUAGCUUUGCUGGAGACUCGCCUUAAAGUAAUUGGCAGCCGGCCUACUGGUUUCGGAGCGCAGCACAAGUCGCACUCUCUAUCAGCAAAGGUCUAGCAUCCAUUAAGCCUUUUUUUCAACUUUUGACCUCGGAUCAGGUAGGGAUACCCGCUGAACUUAAGCAUAUCAUAAGCCCGGAGGA